UAAGAUAGCGCAAGCAGUUAGAUCAGCGCACUCAGCCAACACCCGCUACAUGGGAAGGUCGAAGUUCCAUUCCGCCGUUACCAUCGCAACGAAGCAGUAACACCACCAAGAUGGUCCUCUCAGAUAACAACUCAGCCAACAAUCUUGUGGAAAGCUAUAGUGUUGUAAGUGAAAUCGCUCGCAACGUAGCUGAGGCCAGGAAGAAGACUCUCGACCUAGACAUCCCCUCUAUCUCUGUUUCCCAUGGCAAACUUUCAAGCCUCAAGCCCAAGGUGCGAAAGUUUGUAGAAGAGGGUGUUCGGCUGUGCUUGCCAGACAAAGUUCACGUGUGCGAUGGAAGUGAACGUGAGCUGCGUGACCUGCUGAACGUGAUGCAGCAGGCAGGCAUGAUCGAGCCACUCCCCAAAUACACCAACUGCUGGCUGGCCCGCACUGACCCAGGGGACGUGGCCCGCGUGGAAAGCAAGACCUUCAUCGUGACAAAGGAACGUCGAGAGACCAUUCCCACGGCUAAGGAGGGCGUCAAGGGACUCUUGGGCAACUGGAUGUCACCAGAGGAGCUGAAGAAGGCCGUCAAAGAACGUUUCCCAGGAUGCAUGAAGGGAAGGACCAUGUAUGUGGUUCCCUUCUCCAUGGGUCCUGUGGGAUCCCCUCUCUCCAAGAUCGGCAUCCAGUUAACAGACUCCCCUUACGUUGUGGCUUCUAUGCGCACCAUGACCAGGAUGGGCAAGGCCGUGCUGGACACGCUCGCUGAGCAAGACUUCGUCAAGUGCCUCCACUCAGUAGGAUGCCCACUUCCCCUCAAGAGGACUUUGGUCAACAACUGGCCGUGUGACCCUGAGAGAACCAUCGUGACACACGUGCCAGAAACCAACGAGAUCAUCUCCUUCGGGUCGGGAUAUGGCGGAAACUCCCUCUUGGGCAAGAAGUGCUUCGCCCUUCGCAUUGGCUCCACCAUCGCCCGUCGCGAAGGCUGGCUAGCCGAACACAUGCUCAUCCUGGGCAUCACGAACCCACAGGGAGUCAAGAAAUACAUUGCGGCUGCCUUCCCCUCCGCCUGCGGCAAGACCAACCUGGCCAUGAUGACCCCAUCCCUUCCAGGCUACAAAGUGGAGUGUGUGGGCGACGACAUCGCUUGGAUGAAGUUCGACGAGGACGGCAUCUUGCGUGCCAUCAACCCUGAGAACGGAUUCUUCGGCGUGGCCCCGGGACCUCCAUGCACACCAACCCUGUGGCCAUGAAAACCGUCCUGUCCAACACCAUCUUCACCAAUGUUGCCAAGACCAGUGAUGGAGGAGUGUUUUGGGAAGGACUGGAGAAGGAAACGGCUAAUGAUGUCACCAUCACCUCGUGGCUUGGAGACACCAACUGGAGCAAAGAAUCAGGCAAACCAGCUGCUCAUCCCAACUCUCGUUUCUGUACACCAGCUGGCCAGUGCCCCAUCAUCGACCCAGCGUGGGAGGACCCCAAGGGCGUUCCCAUCUCGGCCAUUCUCUUUGGAGGAAGACGUCCCGAAGGAGUUCCUCUCAUCUACGAGGCCUUCAACUGGAAACACGGCGUGCUGGUAGGAGGAGCCAUGAGAUCUGAGGCAACUGCCGCCGCCGAGCACAAGGCAAAGGUGAUUAUGCACGACCCUUUCGCCAUGCGACCCUUCUUUGGCUACAACUUCGGCCACUACUUGCAGCACUGGCUCAGCAUGGAGACCCGCACUCACAGAGCUCUUCCCAAGAUCUUCCACGUCAACUGGUUCCGUAAGGACGAGAAGGGACGCUUCAUUUGGCCUGGUUUCGGCGAGAACGUUCGCGUCCUGGACUGGAUCCUUCGACGCGUCGACGGGGAGGACGUGGCGGAGGAGAGCGCCGUCGGCCUGCUUCCAAAACCUUCAUCCCUCAAUAUGGCGGGCUUGGAGGACCAGGACAUCGACAUGCAUGAGCUCUUUAGGCUCCCGAAAGGUUUCUGGCAACAAGAGACGCAAGCCAUCGCCAAGUACUUCGAAGAGCAAGUAGGAGACGACCUUCCCAAUGAAAUUCGAGAAGAACUCAAGAAGCUAGACAAACGUGUAGAAAAAAUGUAAGGUGUAAAUACAAAUCUCAUAAUUAUAUAAAAACAAUGGCAAAACAAGGCAUGCUGGGCCUUAGAUCAUCGUCUGUUUUAUUUUUAUUUUUUUCAUUUCUUAUUUAUUUCAUUAAUUUUUUUUUUCGAGGAGGGAGUUGGAUCAGUGUCUUCAUAUAUCUUUUCUGCUGCAUCAUGUCAUAUUAUAUUGCAGGUUUUACUGCAUUACUAUGUACUACAAUGUGCAAAAGUAAAGCUAAUCCUUUUAUA
This is an RNA transcript of Penaeus monodon (black tiger shrimp), 2322 nucleotides long. It is a transcript of the gene named phosphoenolpyruvate carboxykinase, cytosolic [GTP]-like, with no coding region annotated. The transcript has 3 exons. Lineage: Eukaryota; Metazoa; Arthropoda; Malacostraca; Decapoda; Penaeidae. The record is from RefSeq and is a predicted model, not a curated record.